RNAcentral lists this ribosomal RNA (423 nucleotides) under uncultured bacterium. RNAcentral describes it as "bacterial SSU rRNA". It matches the Rfam family "Bacterial small subunit ribosomal RNA", at positions 355 to 775 of the family's 1533-position model. The record is from RNAcentral.
UAAGGAAUAUUGGUCAAUGGGCGCAAGCCUGAACCAGCCAUGCCGCGUGCAGGAAGACGGCCCUAUGGGUUGUAAACUGCUUUUAUCAGGGAAUAAACCCCCGCUCGUGAGCGGGGCUGAAGGUACCUGAAGAAUAAGCAUCGGCUAACUCCGUGCCAGCAGCCGCGGUAAAACGGAGGAUGCAAGCGUUAUCCGGAUUCAUUGGGUUUAAAGGGUGCGCAGGCGGAUUGGUAGGUCAGGGGUGAAAUCCCACAGCUCAACUGUGGAACUGCCUUUGAUACUGUCAGUCUAGAGUAUAGUUGAAGUGGGCGGAAUGUGUCAUGUAGCGGUGAAAUGCUUAGAUAUGACACAGAACACCGAUCGCGAAGGCAGCUCGCUAAGCUAUAACUGACGCUCAUGCACGAAAGCGUGGGGAUCAAACAG